Molecule: ribosomal RNA, 466 nt
Filed under: uncultured bacterium
Lineage: Bacteria
Description: partial 16S ribosomal RNA
Rfam family: Bacterial small subunit ribosomal RNA
Source: RNAcentral
CGAACGCUGGCGGCGUGCUUAACACAUGCACGUCGCACGGAAAGGCCCUGCUUUUGUGGGGUGCUCGAGUGGCGAACGGGUGAGUAACACGUGAGUAACCUGCCCUUGACUUUGGGAUAACUUCAGGAAACUGGGGCUAAUACCGGAUAGGAGCUCCUGCUGCAUGGUGGGGGUUGGAAAGUUUCGGCGGUUGGGGAUGGACUCGCGGCUUAUCAGCUUGUUGGUGGGGUAGUGGCUUACCAAGGCUUUGACGGGUAGCCGGCCUGAGAGGGUGACCGGCCACAUUGGGACUGAGAUACGGCCCAGACUCCUACGGGAGGCAGCAGUGGGGAAUAUUGCACAAUGGGCGGAAGCCUGAUGCAGCAACGCCGCGUGCGGGAUGACGGCCUUCGGGUUGUAAACCGCUUUCGCCUGUGACGAAGCGUGAGUGACGGUAAUGGGUAAAGAAGCACCGGCUAACUACGUG